ACGACUGUUUAAUUCAACGCAUUCUCAGCGCAUCUGUCAAAGAGACCACUGUUUCUACACUGCUGUCAUCUUCUCCUGGUACCCAUGCAGAUCCUCAGUCAGAUGCAGGAAGUACAUAUACACCACCUCUGCCUCUGCUGGCCUCACCUGAGACCCCCUGGUCCUGUGAAGACUGGUGGCAGGGUGUAUGUACUGGAGCACAAACACAGAGCCAAUUGACAACUUGCUUAAACACUGUGGGAAGAAGCACAUCCUCAGGAGCAUGCAGCAGUGCUCCACAAUUCCUCUACUGAUCCAAACAGCAUGCUCCAUUCGACCACAAAACUGCACAUUUCACAGUAUGUCAAGCACCUGGCCAAACUGCAGAACACCAGUUCUUCAUUAAACAACUCCAGAGAAACGUCUUGAAAGCGGGCAGUAAAACAACCAGUGUGCCAGUGGUUAUAAUGAA
This is a long non-coding RNA of Onychostoma macrolepis, 451 nucleotides long. RefSeq lists it as uncharacterized. The record is from RefSeq and is a predicted model, not a curated record. The transcript is spliced from 3 exons. Lineage: Eukaryota; Metazoa; Chordata; Actinopteri; Cypriniformes; Cyprinidae.